UCCUGUCACAGACCUGCACUGUGGCUUCGGCGGCCCCCUGGCCCGGGUGGCCACUGCCUCGCUGGACCAGACGGUGAAGCUGUGGGAGGUCUCCUCGGGCGAGCUGCUGCUGUCCGUGCUGUUCGACGUGGGCAUCAUGGCUGUGACCAUGGACCUGGCUGAGCACCGCAUGUUCUGUGGCGGCAGCGACGGCUCCAUCUUCCAGGUUGACUUGUGCUCUUGGCCCGGGCAGCGGGAGCGGAGCUUCCAGCCGGAGCAGGACGCCGGGAAGGUCUUCAAAGGGCACAGG
Molecule: long non-coding RNA, 289 nt
Organism: Carlito syrichta (Philippine tarsier)
Lineage: Eukaryota; Metazoa; Chordata; Mammalia; Primates; Tarsiidae
Exons: 3
Source: RefSeq, a predicted model, not a curated record